RNAcentral lists this ribosomal RNA (517 nucleotides) under uncultured Rothia sp. Its description in RNAcentral is "bacterial SSU rRNA". It matches the Rfam family "Bacterial small subunit ribosomal RNA", at positions 1 to 507 of the family's 1533-position model. The record is from RNAcentral. Lineage: Bacteria; Bacillati; Actinomycetota; Actinomycetes; Micrococcales; Micrococcaceae.
CGUACGUCGUACGUAGUAGGUACGUUUAGGUACUCGUCGGCUACGAGGACGACGCUGGCGGCGUGCUUAACACAUGCAAGUCGAACGAUGAAGCCUAGCUUGCUAGGUGGAUUAGUGGCGAACGGGUGAGUAAUACGUGAGUAACCUACCUUUAACUCUGGGAUAAGCCUGGGAAACUGGGUCUAAUACCGGAUACGACCAAUCUCCGCAUGGGGUGUUGGUGGAAAGCGUUAUGUAGUGGUUAUAGAUGGGCUCACGGCCUAUCAGCUUGUUGGUGAGGUAACGGCUCACCAAGGCGACGACGGGUAGCCGGCCUGAGAGGGUGACCGGCCACACUGGGACUGAGACACGGCCCAGACUCCUACGGGAGGCAGCAGUGGGGAAUAUUGCACAAUGGGCGCAAGCCUGAUGCAGCGACGCCGCGUGAGGGAUGACGGCCUUCGGGUUGUAAACCUCUGUUGGCAGGGAAGAAGAGAGAUUGACGGUACCUGCAGAGAAAGCGCCGGCUAACUACGUG